GAUAAACGCUGGCGGCGUGCCUAACACAUGCAAGUCGAGCGAGAAGUAAAUAACGGAUACCUUCGGGUUGAAGAUAUUUAUGGAAAGCGGCGGACGGGUGAGUAUCGCGUGGGUAACCUGCCCUAUACAUGGGGAUAGCCACUAGAAAUGGUGAUUAAUACCUGGUAAGCAUAAAUGAGGCAUCUCAUUUAUGAGAAAGAUUUAUUGGUAUAGGAUGGGCCCGCGUCUGAUUAGCUAGUUGGUAGGGUAAAGGCCUACCAAGGCUGUGAUCAGUAGCCGACCUAAGAGGGUGAACGGCCACACUGGAACUGAGAGACGGUCCAGACUCCUACGGGAGGCAGCAGUGGGGGAUAUUGCACAAUGGGGGAAACCCUGAUGCAGCAACGCCGCGUGAGUGAUGAAAUUUUUCGAAAUGUAAAACUCUGUCCUAUGGGAAGAAAAAAAUGACGGUACCAUAGGAGGAAGCACCGGCUAAAUACGUGCCAGCAGCCGCGGUAAUACGUAUGGUGCAAGCGUUAUCCGGAAUCAUUGGGCGUAAAGCGUGCGUAGGCGGCUAGGAAGGUCAGAGGUGAAAGGCAUGGGCUUAACCUGUGUAAGCCUUUGAAACCGACUAGCUUGAGUACAGGAGGGGAAAGUGGAAUUUCUAGUGUAGCGGUGAAAUGCGUAGAUAUUAGAAAGAACACCAGUGGCGAAGGCGACUUUCUGGACUGUAACUGACGCUAAGGCACGAAAGCGUGGGUAGCGAACAGG
This 750-nucleotide ribosomal RNA is filed under the name uncultured bacterium. Its description in RNAcentral is "bacterial SSU rRNA". It matches the Rfam family "Bacterial small subunit ribosomal RNA", at positions 28 to 776 of the family's 1533-position model. The record is from RNAcentral.